AUUGAACGCUGGCGGCAGGCCUAACACAUGCAAGUCGAGCGGAUGAAGGGAGCUUGCUCCUGGAUUCAGCGGCGGACGGGUGAGUAAUGCCUAGGAAUCUGCCUGGUAGUGGGGGAUAACGUCCGGAAACGGGCGCUAAUACCGCAUACGUCCUGAGGGAGAAAGUGGGGGAUCUUCGGACCUCACGCUAUCAGAUGAGCCUAGGUCGGAUUAGCUAGUUGGUGGGGUAAAGGCCUACCAAGGCGACGAUCCGUAACUGGUCUGAGAGGAUGAUCAGUCACACUGGAACUGAGACCCGGUCCAGACUCCUAAGGGAGGCAGCAGUGGGGAAUAUUGGACAAUGGGCGAAAGCCUGAUCCAGCCAUGCCGCGUGUGUGAAGAAGGUCUUCGGAUUGUAAAGCACUUUAAGUUGGGAGGAAGGGCAGUAAGUUAAUACCUUGCUGUUUUGACGUUACCAACAGAAUAAGCACCGGCUAACUUCGUG
This 484-nucleotide ribosomal RNA is filed under the name uncultured bacterium. Its description in RNAcentral is "partial 16S ribosomal RNA". It matches the Rfam family "Bacterial small subunit ribosomal RNA", at positions 30 to 507 of the family's 1533-position model. The record is from RNAcentral.